Molecule: long non-coding RNA, 310 nt
Organism: Hibiscus syriacus
Lineage: Eukaryota; Viridiplantae; Streptophyta; Magnoliopsida; Malvales; Malvaceae
Exons: 2
Source: RefSeq, a predicted model, not a curated record
AAGGAAAACAAUAAUAGCAACUGAAAAUGAGAGUGCUAAAUUAAGUGGAGAAUAUAAUCCUACGGUAAUGAACACGUCAGAUCUCCAUAUACAUACCGGCUCAUUUGAAUCAAAGUGAGUAUUCCUCCCUCCUUUUCUAAGAACUCUCAGUGUUCCCUUGAAAUUAAAAGAAAAAGAAACAAUAUGGUAAAUUGCAAAUAAAGAAAAGAAUUAUUAUUAUGGAUACUAUCAGGGAACAACCAGGUUGAUUGCAGAACGGGGGCAUGGCCACUGCAUUCUAGGCAAUAAGUUAACUCUUCUCAAUAGAAAG